Hippocampus comes (tiger tail seahorse) is the source of this 193-nucleotide long non-coding RNA. RefSeq lists it as uncharacterized. NCBI's taxonomy places the organism in Eukaryota, Metazoa, Chordata, Actinopteri, Syngnathiformes, Syngnathidae. The record is from RefSeq and is a predicted model, not a curated record. The transcript is spliced from 2 exons.
CUUCAUCCACCUUCAAGGAUUGCGAUGUGCUUUGGACUGACUACCAUCAAAAGUUGGUUGAUCAUGCGCUCAUAUCCAUGGAUACCUAUUUGGGACAGUUUCCUGAUAUUAAGGCUCGUAUUGCCAAGCGGGACAGAAAGUUGGUGGAUUACGACAGUGCCAGACACAACUAUGCCACCACGCAUAAGACCAA